AAUCCUCGAGAGUGGCGAACGGGUGAGUAAUAUAUCGGAACGUGCCCAGUAGUGGGGGAUAGCCCGGCGAAAGCCGGAUUAAUACCGCAUGAGACCUGAGGGUGAAAGCGGGGGACUCGCAAGAGCCUCGCGCUACUGGAGCGGCCGAUAUCAGAUUAGGUAGUUGGUGGGGUAAAAGCCUACCAAGCCUGCGAUCUGUAGCUGGUCUGAGAGGACGACCAGCCACACUGGGACUGAGACACGGCCCAGACUCCUACGGGAGGCAGCAGUGGGGAAUUUUGGACAAUGGGCGAAAGCCUGAUCCAGCCAUGCCGCGUGCGGGAAGAAGGCCUUCGGGUUGUAAACCGCUUUUGUCAGGGAAGAAAUCCUUUGAGCUAAUACCUCGGAGGGAUGACGGUACCUGAAGAAUAAGCACCGGCUAACUACGUGCCAGCAGCCGCGGUAAUA
RNAcentral lists this ribosomal RNA (447 nucleotides) under uncultured bacterium. RNAcentral's name for it is "bacterial SSU rRNA". It matches the Rfam family "Bacterial small subunit ribosomal RNA", at positions 84 to 525 of the family's 1533-position model. The record is from RNAcentral.